UACAGAGGGUGCGAGCGUUGUCCGGAAUCACUGGGCGUAAAGGGCGCGUAGGCGGCGCGGUAAGCGUGCGGUGAAAGCCCGGGGCUCAACCCCGGGUCGGCCGUGCGAACUGGGGGGCUCGAGCACUGUAGAGGCAGGCGGAAUUCCGGGUGUAGCGGUGGAAUGCGUAGAGAUCCGGAAGAACACCGGUGGCGAAGGCGGCCUGCUGGGCAGUGGCUGACGCUGAGGCGCGACAGCGUGGGGAGCAAACAGG
This 253-nucleotide ribosomal RNA is filed under the name uncultured bacterium. Its description in RNAcentral is "partial 16S ribosomal RNA". It matches the Rfam family "Bacterial small subunit ribosomal RNA", at positions 524 to 776 of the family's 1533-position model. The record is from RNAcentral.